CUYUUAUGAGGCCCCGUAAUCGGGAAUGAGUACACUUUAAAUCCUUUAACAAGGAUCCAUUGAAGGGCAAGUCUGGUGCCAGCAGCCGCGGUAAUUCCAGCUUCAAUAGCGUAUAUUAAAGUUGUUGCGGUUAAAAAGCUCGUAGUUGGUUCUGCGUGCCACGCUGUCGGUUCGCCGCCUGCCGGUGUAACUGGCAUGCCGUGGCAUGUCCUGUCGGUGGCGUUCGGGAGCCUCGUCUAGGCGACGGCCCUUGCCAAAAGCUUGGUGUCCGGUGGCCGGGGGUAUACCCGUUCGCCUACUCUAUCCUACCUAGGUGCUCUUCACCGAGUGUCGAGGUAGGCCGACACGUUUACUUUGAACAAAUUAGAGUGCUCAAAGCAGGCUGAAAUCUCUGCCUGAAUAGUGGUGCAUGGAAUAAUAAAACAGGACCUUGGUUCUAUUUUGUUGGUUCUUAGGAACACAAGGUAAUGAUCAAUACGGACAGGCGGGGGCAUUCGUAUUGCGACGUUAGAGGUGAAAUUCUUGGAUCGUCGCAAGACGCACAAGAGCGAAAGCAUUUGCCAAGUAUGUCUUGAUUGAUCAAGAACGAAAGUUAGAGGUUCGAAGGCGAUCAGAUACCGCCCUAGUUCUAACCAUAAACGAUGCCAGCCAGCGAUCCGCCGAUGUUCCUCCGAUGACUCGGCGGGGAGCUUCUUCCCGGGAAACCAAAGCUUUUGGGUUCCGGGGGAAGUAUGGUUGCAAAGCUGAAACUUAAAGGAAUUGACGGAAGGGCACCACCAGGAGUGGAGCCUGCGGCUUAAUUUGACUCAACACGGGAAACCUCACCAGGCCAGGACAUUGGAAGGAUUGACAGAUUGAUAGCUCUUUCUUGAU
This 873-nucleotide ribosomal RNA is filed under the name Liocoris tripustulatus. Its description in RNAcentral is "SSU rRNA". It matches the Rfam family "Eukaryotic small subunit ribosomal RNA", at positions 493 to 1277 of the family's 1831-position model. The record is from RNAcentral. Lineage: Eukaryota; Metazoa; Arthropoda; Insecta; Hemiptera; Miridae.